ACGAACGCUGGCGGCGUGCUUAACACAUGCAAGUCGAACGGAAAGGCCCUGCUUUUGUGGGGUGCUCGCGUGGCGAACGGGUGAGUAACACGUGAGUAACCUGCCCUUGACUUUGGGAUAACUUCAGGAAACUGGGGCUAAUACCGGAUAGGAGCUCCUGCUGCAUGGUGGGGGUUGGAAAGUUUCGGCGGUUGGGGAUGGACUCGCGGCUUAUCAGCUUGUUGGUGGGGUAGUGGCUUACCAAGGCUUUGACGGGUAGCCGGCCUGAGAGGGUGACCGGCCACAUUGGGACUGAGAUACGGCCCAGACUCCUACGGGAGGCAGCAGUGGGGAAUAUUGCACAAUGGGCGGAAGCCUGAUGCAGCAACGCCGUGUGCGGGAUGACGGCCUUCGGGUUGUAAACCGCUUUCGCCUGUGACGAAGCGUGAGUGACGGUAAUGGGUAAAGAAGCACCGGCUAACUACGUG
Molecule: ribosomal RNA, 467 nt
Filed under: uncultured bacterium
Lineage: Bacteria
Description: partial 16S ribosomal RNA
Rfam family: Bacterial small subunit ribosomal RNA
Source: RNAcentral